RNAcentral lists this ribosomal RNA (398 nucleotides) under uncultured bacterium. RNAcentral describes it as "partial 16S ribosomal RNA". It matches the Rfam family "Bacterial small subunit ribosomal RNA", at positions 523 to 918 of the family's 1533-position model. The record is from RNAcentral.
AUACGUAGGGUGCGAGCGUUGUCCGGAAUUACUGGGCGUAAAGAGCUCGUAGGUGGUUUGUCGCAUCGUCUGUGAAAUUCCGGGGCUUAACUCCGGGCGUGCAGGCGAUACGGGCAUAACUUGAGUACUGUAGGGGAGACUGGAAUUCCUGGUGUAGCGGUGAAAUGCGCAGAUAUCAGGAGGAACACCGGUGGCGAAGGCGGGUCUCUGGGCAGUAACUGACGCUGAGGAGCGAAAGCAUGGGUAGCGAACAGGAUUAGAUACCCUGGUAGUCCAUGCCGUAAACGGUGGGCGCUAGGUGUAGGGGUCUUCCACGACUUCUGUGCCGUAGCUAACGCAUUAAGCGCCCCGCCUGGGGAGUACGGCCGCAAGGCUAAAACUUAAAGGAAUUGACGGGG